Molecule: ribosomal RNA, 388 nt
Filed under: uncultured Sphingomonas sp.
Lineage: Bacteria; Pseudomonadati; Pseudomonadota; Alphaproteobacteria; Sphingomonadales; Sphingomonadaceae
Description: bacterial SSU rRNA
Rfam family: Bacterial small subunit ribosomal RNA
Source: RNAcentral
CGACUGGCAGAGAUGCCUUUCUUCCCUUCGGGACCGUACACACAGGUGCUGCAUGGCUGUCGUCAGCUCGUGUCGUGAGAUGUUGGGUUAAGUCCCGCAACGAGCGCAACCCUCGACUUUAGUUACCAUCAUUAAGUUGGGUACUUUAAAGUAACCGCCGGUGAUAAGCCGGAGGAAGGUGGGGGAUGACGUCAAGUCCUCAUGGCCCUUACGCGCUGGGCUACACACGUGCUACAAUGGCAAGUACAGUGGGCAGCAAUCCCGCGAGGGUGAGCUAAUCUCCAAAACUUGUCUCAGUUCGGAUUGUUCUCUGCAACUCGAGAGCAUGAAGGCGGAAUCGCUAGUAAUCGCGGAUCAGCAUGCCGCGGUGAAUACGUUCCCAGGCCUU